GACGUAGGGCGCGAGCGUUGUCCGGAUUUAUUGGGCGUAAAGAGCUCGUAGGCGGCUUGUCACGUCGGUUGUGAAAGCCCGGGGCUUAACCCCGGGUCUGCAGUCGAUACGGGCAGGCUAGAGUUCGGUAGGGGAGAUCGGAAUUCCUGGUGUAGCGGUGAAAUGCGCAGAUAUCAGGAGGAACACCGGUGGCGAAGGCGGAUCUCUGGGCCGAUACUGACGCUGAGGAGCGAAAGCGUGGGGAGCGAACAGG
Molecule: ribosomal RNA, 253 nt
Filed under: uncultured bacterium
Lineage: Bacteria
Description: partial 16S ribosomal RNA
Rfam family: Bacterial small subunit ribosomal RNA
Source: RNAcentral